GUGCGUCCGAUGAGGCUUGUUGGUUAUGUAAUGGCUGACCAAGGCGAUGAUCGGUAGCUGGUCUGAGAGGAUGAUCAGCCACACUGGGAUUGAGACACGGCCCAGACUCCUACGGGAGGCAGCAGUGGGGAAUAUUGGACAAUGGGCGCAAGCCUGAUCCAGCAAUUCCGCGUGGGUGAAGAAGGUCUUCGGAUUGUAAAGCCCUUUCGGCGGGGACGAUGAUGACGGUACCCGCAGAAGAAGCCCCGGCUAACUUCGUGCCAGCAGCCGCGGUAAUACGAAGGGGGCUAGCGUUGCUCGGAAUGACUGGGCGUAAAGGGCGCGUAGGCGGCACGAACAGUCAGGCGUGAAAUUCCUGGGCUUAACCUGGGGGCUGCGUUUGAUACGUUCGAGCUAGAGGAUGGAAGAGGCUCGUGGAAUUCCCAGUGUAGAGGUGAAAUUCGUAGAUAUUGGGAAGAACACCGGUGGCGAAGGCGGCGAGCUGGUCCAUUACUGACGCUGAGGCGCGAAAGCGUGGGGAGCAAACAGGAUUAGAUACCCUGGUAGUCCACGCUGUAAACGAUGUGCGCUGGAUGUUGGGGAGCUUAGCUUCUCAGUGUCGUAGCUAACGCGAUAAGCGCACCGCCU
RNAcentral lists this ribosomal RNA (627 nucleotides) under uncultured bacterium. Its description in RNAcentral is "bacterial SSU rRNA". It matches the Rfam family "Bacterial small subunit ribosomal RNA", at positions 231 to 874 of the family's 1533-position model. The record is from RNAcentral.